Molecule: long non-coding RNA, 376 nt
Filed under: Cricetulus griseus (Chinese hamster)
Lineage: Eukaryota; Metazoa; Chordata; Mammalia; Rodentia; Cricetidae
Description: lncRNA (ENSCGRG00000026483.1)
Source: RNAcentral
ACAAACUCCCACAGUAUCCUGAAACAGAGCCAUCCACUUCUCCUGGAUGUCCACAUACAUCUUGGUGGUCGUAAGUUCCUGUCUUAUUUCAGCUAAUAUGCUUUUUAUUUGUGAAAGCAGCAUAAUAAACUCCCGUGGAAUACUGUGGAAUCAAUCUCCAGGCUCUCCAGUGAAUAGACACAGGAUAAAGCCCCAUUGCCCUCCGUAUACCAAUGGGAAGGGAGAAAAUCACUGCCUGGCUCAGAUCUGUGGGCUUUGCGUUGAAGACUGGUAUUUGCACCCUGAUGAUAGGGUGCAUUGCCCACCAGCAAGGAAGGCCACUGUGGAUACAGUCCUGAGGGUGGCACACACUGGUCUCUGCUGCUUCAGCCUGUGA